GAUGAACGCUGGCGGCGUGCCUAAUACAUGCAAGUCGAGCGAACAGACGAGGAGCUUGCUCCUCUGACGUUAGCGGCGGACGGGUGAGUAACACGUGGAUAACCUACCUAUAAGACUGGGAUAACUUCGGGAAACCGGAGCUAAUACCGGAUAAUAUAUUGAACCGCAUGGUUCAAUAGUGAAAGACGGUUUUGCUGUCACUUAUAGAUGGAUCCGCGCCGCAUUAGCUAGUUGGUAAGGUAACGGCUUACCAAGGCAACGAUGCGUAGCCGACCUGAGAGGGUGGUCGGCCACACUGGAACUGGGACACGGUCCAGACUCCUACGGGAGGCAGCAGUAGGGAAUCGUCCGCAAUGGGCGAAAGCUUGACGGAGCAACGCCGCGUGAGUGAUGAAGGUCUUCGGAUCGUAAAACUCUGUUAUUAGGGAAGAACAAAUGUGUAAGUAACUAUGCACGUCUUGACGGUACCUAAUCAGAAAGCCACGGCUAACUACGUG
This 497-nucleotide ribosomal RNA is filed under the name uncultured bacterium. RNAcentral's name for it is "partial 16S ribosomal RNA". It matches the Rfam family "Bacterial small subunit ribosomal RNA", at positions 28 to 507 of the family's 1533-position model. The record is from RNAcentral.